Molecule: unclassified non-coding RNA, 337 nt
Filed under: soil metagenome
Description: partial contains 5.8S ribosomal RNA, internal transcribed spacer 2, and large subunit ribosomal RNA
Rfam family: 5.8S ribosomal RNA (bases 1-120)
Source: RNAcentral
GAUGAAGAACGCAGCGAAAUGCGAUAAGUAGUGUGAAUUGCAGAAUUCAGUGAAUCAUCGAAUCUUUGAACGCACAUUGUGCCCCUUGGUAUUCCAUGGGGCAUGCCUGUUCGAGCGUCAUUUGUACCUUCAAGCUCUGCUUGGUGUUGGGUGUUUGUCUCGCCUCUGCGUGUAGACUCGCCUCAAAAUAAUUGGCAGCCGGCGUAUUGAUUUCGGAGCGCAGUACAUCUCGCGCUUUGCACUCAUAACGACGACGUCCAAAAGUACAUUUUUACACUCUUGACCUCGGAUCAGGUAGGGAUACCCGCUGAACUUAAGCAUAUCAAUAAGCGGAGGA